This 85-nucleotide transfer RNA is filed under the name Vibrio parahaemolyticus. Its description in RNAcentral is "tRNA-Leu". It matches the Rfam family "tRNA". Rfam says of the family: Transfer RNA (tRNA) molecules are approximately 80 nucleotides in length. Their secondary structure includes four short double-helical elements and three loops (D, anti-codon, and T loops). The record is from RNAcentral. RNAcentral also lists the same sequence under 1 other name. Lineage: Bacteria; Pseudomonadati; Pseudomonadota; Gammaproteobacteria; Vibrionales; Vibrionaceae.
GCGGAAGUGGCGGAAUUGGUAGACGCACCAGAUUUAGGUUCUGGCGCCGCAAGGGGUGAGAGUUCAAGUCUCUCCUUCCGCACCA